RNAcentral lists this long non-coding RNA (264 nucleotides) under Nicotiana benthamiana. Its description in RNAcentral is "long non-coding RNA (NBEN_LNC013071)". Lineage: Eukaryota; Viridiplantae; Streptophyta; Magnoliopsida; Solanales; Solanaceae. The record is from RNAcentral.
UCACUCAGUAUACUAUGCCAGGAAGUCCUACGAUGAAUGGUGUAGCUGAGAGACGAACCCUUUGAGGAUAUUGAGUUUGGGGGUGGGGAGAUAAAGUUGUAAGAGAUUUUGUCUUUGAGGAAGAACAUGUGUCUUUCCCUCAAGUUGUUGAUCUUGGUCAGGGGGUUCUCAUUCCUGACAUGGAUCACACAACUCCAGUUCAAAACAAUCUCGAAAAUCUCCCCAAUCAAGUUCCUGAUAUUACUAAUGAAAAUCAAACUCAAC